AAGUCGUAACAAGGUUUCCGUAGGUGAACCUGCGGAAGGAUCAUCAACAACAACAAUAAUAAUAAAAAAAUUAAUUAGUGUAUGUGUGUAGUAAAAUAUAUCAUCACUAUUAAUUUUUUUUUACCAAUGUGAAUAGCCCAAAAAAACAAAAGCAAGCACACACAUAAAAUAAAAUAUAUAUUUUAUAUAUUAUUUGUUGUGUGUGUAGAGAAUUUGUUUUAGAGGGUUGUAUUUAUUACUUUCUUCAUCUCUCAUUGAUGAUGGAUGAAAGUAAAUAUAAUAUACUAGAGUAUCUUUUUUAGAGUCUUUUUAUUUUAUUAUAAAUAAUAUAUAUACAACUUUUAACAAUGGAUCUCUUGGCUCUU
RNAcentral lists this unclassified non-coding RNA (365 nucleotides) under fungal sp. RNAcentral describes it as "partial internal transcribed spacer region". The stretch from base 1 to 46 matches the Rfam family "Eukaryotic small subunit ribosomal RNA", at positions 1786 to 1831 of the family's 1831-position model. The record is from RNAcentral. Lineage: Eukaryota; Fungi.